This 390-nucleotide ribosomal RNA is filed under the name uncultured bacterium. RNAcentral describes it as "bacterial SSU rRNA". It matches the Rfam family "Bacterial small subunit ribosomal RNA", at positions 28 to 419 of the family's 1533-position model. The record is from RNAcentral.
GACGAACGCUGGCGGCGUGCUUAACACAUGCAAGUCGAGCGGUAAGGCCCUUUCGGGGGUACACGAGCGGCGAACGGGUGAGUAACACGUGGGUGACCUGCCCUCAGCUCUGGGAUAAGCCUGGGAAACCGGGUCUAAUACCGGAUAUGACUCCAUGACGCAUGUUGUGGGGUGGAAAGCCUUGUGCGGCUGAGGAUGGGCCCGCGGCCUAUCAGCUUGUUGGUGGGGUGAUGGCCCACCAAGGCGACGACGGGUAGCCGGCCUGAGAGGGCGACCGGCCACACUGGGACUGAGACACGGCCCAGACUCCUACGGGAGGCAGCAGUGGGGAAUCUUGCGCAAUGGGCGAAAGCCUGACGCAGCGAUGCCGCGUGAGGGAUGACGGCCUGG